Molecule: ribosomal RNA, 238 nt
Filed under: uncultured bacterium
Lineage: Bacteria
Description: partial 16S ribosomal RNA
Rfam family: Bacterial small subunit ribosomal RNA
Source: RNAcentral
CGGCGGACGGGUGAGUAACGCGUGGGUAACCUACCCUGUACACACGGAUAACAUACCGAAGGGUAUGCUAAUACGGGAUAAUAUAUUUGAGAGGCAUCUCUUGAAUAUCAAAGGUGAGCCAGUACAGGAUGGACCCGCGUCUGAUUAGCUAGUUGGUAAGGUAACGGCUUACCAAGGCGACGAUCAGUAGCCGACCUGAGAGGGUGAUCGGCCACAUUGGAACUGAGACACGGUCCAA